This 73-nucleotide transfer RNA is filed under the name Candidatus Omnitrophota bacterium. Its description in RNAcentral is "tRNA-Thr". It matches the Rfam family "tRNA". Rfam says of the family: Transfer RNA (tRNA) molecules are approximately 80 nucleotides in length. Their secondary structure includes four short double-helical elements and three loops (D, anti-codon, and T loops). Lineage: Bacteria; Pseudomonadati; Candidatus Omnitrophota. The record is from RNAcentral.
GCCGAGAUAGCUCAGUUGGCAGAGCAGGGGCUUCGUAAGUCUCAGGUCGAGAGUUCGAAUCUCUCUCUCGGCU